UACGUAGGGACCGAGCGUUGUCCGGAAUCAUUGGGCGUAAAGAGCGUGUAGGCGGCUUUGCAAGUCCGUUGUGAAAACUCGAGGCUCAACCUCGAGACGCCGGUGGAAACUGCAAAGCUAGAGUCCGGAAGAGGAGAGUGGAAUUCCUGGUGUAGCGGUGAAAUGCGCAGAUAUCAGGAAGAACACCCGUGGCGAAGGCGGCUCUCUGGGACGGUACUGACGCUGAGACGCGAAAGCGUGGGGAGCGAACAGG
RNAcentral lists this ribosomal RNA (253 nucleotides) under uncultured bacterium. RNAcentral describes it as "partial 16S ribosomal RNA". It matches the Rfam family "Bacterial small subunit ribosomal RNA", at positions 524 to 776 of the family's 1533-position model. The record is from RNAcentral.